This 76-nucleotide non-coding RNA is filed under the name unclassified sequences. The record is from Rfam.
GGGGAGAGUCUUAGAAUCCCCGCGAGAUAUUGUGUGAAUAGCGGCGUCUUUGGCCGGGCGAAGCGGUUCGUGAAUC